AACGCACAUUGCGCCCUGUGGUAUUCCGCAGGGCAUGCCUGUUCGAGCGUCAGUACAACACUCAAGCCUAGCUUGGUCUUGGGCCUCGCCGGAAACGGCGGGCCUUAAAAUCAGUGGCGGCGCCUGUUAGGCCCUAAGCGUAGUAAUACUCCUCGCUACAGGGACCCGGCAGGUGCUGGCCAGUAACCCCCAACUUUCUAAGUUUGACCUCGGAUCAGGUAGGGAUACCCGCUGAACUUAA
This 241-nucleotide unclassified non-coding RNA is filed under the name Physalospora sp. Its description in RNAcentral is "partial contains 5.8S ribosomal RNA, internal transcribed spacer 2, and large subunit ribosomal RNA". The stretch from base 1 to 52 matches the Rfam family "5.8S ribosomal RNA", at positions 103 to 154 of the family's 154-position model. The record is from RNAcentral. Lineage: Eukaryota; Fungi; Ascomycota; Sordariomycetes; Amphisphaeriales; Hyponectriaceae.